AGGGGAUGAGUGAUCUACGUACCCUUGUAGAUCGUACAGCAGAAGCGUUAGAGAACGCGGUUGAUGUAGUGGAACGUCCUCACGUCCCUCGAUCCGCCCCGCGAACAAUCCCGCAAUCAGUCCCACGAUCUAGCACCGAACGGACGGCACCUCCGCGUUCAGCACACGUACAGCUCGACGAUGAUCUCGGCCUUCUUGAUCCAGCAAGAGAGACGGAGAGGUAGAAGAGUUCUCCGGCAGCGUGACGGCGCUCCGGAGGUUGGUGAUGAUCUUGUCUCAGCAGGGCUCCGCCCGAGCUCCGCAGAAACGCGAUCUAGAGGAAAAACUAUGGACGUAUGUGGUCGGGCAGCCGUGAGAAAGUCGUCUCAAAUCAGCCCUAAUUGCUCCAUAUAUAUAGGAGGAGGGAGGGGGACCUUGCCUUGGAGUCCAAGGGACCCUCAAGGGGUCGGCCGAGCCAAGGGGGGGNNNNNNNNNNNNNNNNNNNNNNNNNNNNNNNNNNNNNNNNNNNNNNNNNNNNNNNNNNNNNNNNNNNNNNNNNNNNNNNNNNNNNNNNNNNNNNNNNNNNNNNNNNNNNNNNNNNNNNNNNNNNNNNNNNNNNNNNNNNNNNNNNNNNNNNNNNNNNNNNNNNNNNNNNNNNNNNNNNNNNNNNNNNNNNNNNNNNNNNNNNNNNNNNNNNNUUUUUUUUCUUUUCCUUUGAUUUCCUUUUCUUGGCGCAUAGGCCCCCUUGGGGCUGUCCCACCAGCCCACUAAGGGCUGGUGUGUCUCCCCAAAGCCUAUGGGCUUCCCCGGGGGGGGUUGCCCCCCCCCCCCCGGUGAACUCCCGGAACCCAUUCGUCAUUCCCGGUAACUCCGAAAACCUUCCGGUAAUCAAAUGAGGUCAUCCUAUAUAUCAAUCUUCGUUUCCGGACCAUUCCGGAAACCCUCGUGACGUCCGUGAUCUCAUCCGGGACUCCGAACAACAUUCGGUAACCAACCAUAUAACUCAAAUACGCAUAAAACAACGUCGAACCUUAAGUGUGCAGACCCUGCGGGUUCGAGAACUAUGUAGACAUGACCCGAGAGACUCCUCGGUCAAUAUCCAAUAGCGGGACCUGGAUGCCCAUAUUGGAUCCUACAUAUUCUACGAAGAUCUUAUCGUUUGAACCUCAGUGCCAAGGAUUCGUAUAAUCCCGUAUGUCAUUCCCUUUGUCCUUCGGUAUGUUACUUGCCCGAGAUUCGAUCGUCAGUAUCCGCAUACCUAUUUCAAUCUCGUUUUACCGGCAAGUCUCUUUACUCGUUCCGUAAUACAAGAUCCCGCAACUUACACUAAGUUACAUUGCUUGCAAGGCUUGUGUGUGAUGUUGUAUUACCGAGUGGGCCCUGAGAUACCUCUCCGUCACACGGAGUGACAAAUCCCAGUCUUGAUCCAUACUAACUCAACUAACACCUUCGGAGAUACCUGUAGAGCAUCUUUAUAGUCACCCAGUUACGUUGCGACGUUUGAUACACACAAAGCAUUCCUCCGGCGUCAGUGAGUUAUAUGAUCUCAUGGUCAUAGGAAUAAAUACUUGACACGCAGAAAACAGUAGCAACAAAAUGACACGAUCAACAUGCUACGUCUAUUAGUUUGGGUCUAGUCCAUCACGUGAUUCUCCCAAUGACGUGAUCCAGUUAUCAAGCAACAACACCUUGUUCAUAAUCAGAAGACACUGACUAUCAUCGAUCAACUGGCUAGCCAACUAGAGGCAUGCUAGGGACGGUGUUUUGUCUAUGUAUCCACACAUGUAAAUGAGUCUUCAUUCAAUACAAUUAUAGCAUGGAUUAUAAACUAUUAUCUUGAUACAGGAAUUAUAAUAAUAACUAUACAUUUAUUAUUGCCUCUAGGGCAUAAUUCCAACACGAUGGUGUUGAGUUAGGUAACCACUUGAGGAAUAAGUGGUGUACCGAGACAAGUUGUGUGUAUAUGUUUAAAAAACGGAGAGAUUUAAGAUUUGUUGCUCGUCCCAACUAUUUAUGUGCGACCAUGAUACCCCUUUACGGGACGGGCUUUGUUGACUACUUUCGUCCAUGCUAGCAUAGAGCCCACAUUACUAGUGGCGUGAGGGCUAGAGUUACCCUCUCAAUACGGGGUCGUGCCAGGUAGGGCGACAUGGGUUGUUUUCAUAGACAACGGGCACAUCAUUGCGUCCUAUCAGGGAUGGUACGAUAUAGAGCGAGUCUCGUAUGAUGUACGUCAUAAGGACAUGGGCCAACGAGUGGACCGUUUGUUUAGUGUCGCCAGGGGAAAGAAUUUGCUUGGGUGCUUACCUCGGGUAUGUAAUAUACCAUGAGUCAUGGUUGACACGGAAGUUACCCUAGUCUUGUGGGUAAAGCGUGCAAACCCGUGAAGAGUGUAAGAACUAUUCGAAUAGCCAUGUCCACGGUCUUGGACAGUUGGAGCUCCAUCUUAAUCUAAGUCGGAUUUUUUCACAAACUUGGUGUGUGUGUGUGAAAGAUGACACUUGAGCUAAGUCACAUGACUCGACAUGAUGAAUGAACAUGAGAUUUUCAACCCCCUGCUUAUGAUGAUAUCAAUAUGUUGUUCGUAUAGAUAUCUGCAACCUCAUGAUGCAUGCUUUUACAAGUUGAUUGAUCAUGACAUUGCACUCAAAACUAGCUUUCUACAACUUACUUACUUACUCCUAUAUCAUGCAUUGUUAUUACCUUGUUAUAAACAGGGGUUGCUUUGAGUACAUUCAAAGUAGUCAUUGGCUUGCCACUGGUUAUUUUAUUGUCCAGGCAUGAGAGAACCGAGUAUGAUGAAGAUUAACUUGGUGACUUACGUGUAGGCUAGGACGCUUUCCAGACAGAAUGUCUAUAGGGUUAAGGAAGAUGGCAUGGCAUCACGCUAUCGAUGAAGAUUUCUGCUCCAAAUACAUGAAGACUUGGCUAUGAAGGCCAUAACUGAGUAAAAUGGUACGCAAUGGAUGUAAGACUCUUGUUAUUCAGCUUCGAUUUGUUUAGUGAGCAUUGAUCUCUGGGAUAACUAUGCACAUACAUUUAGUGAACACGACUUAUGGGUCUGGGUCCCCACAAAUUGUGUAUCGGAGCCAUCCUCAUUGUGGGAUGCCUUAGUUAGCAUGGACAUUAGAUAGGACAAAACAAUUUUUUCAGACCCUUUAAAAUCAGUUACAAAACCUAUAUAUUUCUAAAUUCUUCUAAAUAUUCAAAGGAAGCGAUGGGUUUUGCCUUAGCACUUCCACCCUUACACUCUUGACUCCCCUCAUCUACCUUUUCAAAGCAUGCAAACGGUCGCUAGCACCCUUAUGCCCUGACCAUUGGAUUCCUUGAAAUCCUUGUGGGUAAAUUUAAAAGGAGCGAUCUUGCCAAAUGAUCACCCACAUAUUUGGAAGACAAGAUUGGCAACGCUACGACAAGACGACACCAACAAAAUCUACUAUCUCGAGGUAUGAGGACAUCAAGACUCAGAAGAUGGUGGCACCCUCUACACUGUCUCGGAGGGAUGCAACCCUAGACUACGAUGAUUAGGACAUAAGAUAUGCUAGAUCAUGAUAUGCGUCGCUAAUAGAGCGACCAUGUCCUUACCAUUGUUGUGUCGACAACCACCGGUGUAUGAGAACCUCAACAUUUGGUCCCCCUAACCAUAGUGAGCAGGAAAACGGUUCUCUUCAUCCCCCUCUCUUGGUGUCGAUAUUGUCAUCAACAUGACCGAUAGGUCGAAGCUCUAUCAUGCCUUGUCAAUGUCAUUUCAUAAAGGACCAUCUACUUGGAACUCUUGACGCCUUGAAAUACAAGAAGACAUUGACAAGAUUACAAGGACAACAGAAGACCCUAUCAAUGACAGCCAUGAGGAACCACCUUUGCCGUUAGCUUACCAGAUAGAAGUCGUUAAAAGUUCUUUAGGAUCAACCUCGAUCAUUCCAACAAACAAUUCCAAAAUACAUGGAGACACCUGAAGAAGACCUAGAAGACUAAGGGGACUCCUCUUCAAGACACAAAGCAAGCACGACUAUUGAGUCCAAGAACCCCUAGGAUAGGAUGAGUCGUGUAUCCCCUAUGCGAAGUCGAGUCCGUGUGAUGGUUUGAAUGGAACCAUGUUGUGUUUUGCUUGUUUGUGCUUUUAUAUAAGAUGCACUUUUGCCCUAGGCAACAAUUACAUGACUAUAUCACCUACCUCAUAUUGAUGUUUGUGUUUGUCCUUUUCGACAUUUUUUUUAUUGCACUUGCACUAUCACUACAGGAUUCAGCUUCUUUGCCGUCAGCCAAAGCAGACGGCAAAGGGGUGUUCCUCGAUCGGCAAAGGCCUUUGCCGUCAGCCUCCUGUCGGCAAAACUUCUAUGACUACUGUCGUUGAUAAAUGACCUUCUUUGCCAUCUGCCUCCACACAAUGGACGUCAGAGGUCUUUGCCAUCAGCCGGCAAAUGGCAAAGAAAUUAGACGACAUCCGAUAGGGCCAACUCCGUUAGGUAGCUAACGAAGCCUUUGUUGUGUGCCAUGUGGUGACCCUUUGUCAUCUGCUGGCUGAUGGAAAAGGGCGACGACCAUUUGUCGUCUACCAUGGGCCGACUCUUUCCGUCUGCCAUGGGGCAACCCUUUGCCGUUUGCUGGCUGAUGGUAAAGGGCUUUGUCAUGUGCUGGCAGAUGGCAAAGAGCCUGUAUUGCUCCUUUUUUAUUUGUUUUCUUUUAUUUCCCUGCAUUUUCAUAACACACACACACACACACACACACAUAUAUAUAUAUAGUUUCAGACAUCUUCAAAACAUAUAUUUCACAUCAUAUACAUUUCCAACAUCAUCAUGAAAUGUUUAACAAGCUAGAGAACACAUAGUCUAGCACAAUACAUAGUUUCACAUAGUUAUCCAUAUAUACAUACUUAAAUUUUACAUUGUUUGUCAAUACAAAUGAAAAAACCAAACAUUAAGUGUCCAUCAAUGCCAGUUUCCAUGAAAUGAAUCAAAUCUGCAAAAAUGGGAGUAAUUAAGAAAGUUAGAAGAAGAAGAAGACUAACAUAUACUCCCUCCGUCCCAAAUUCUUGUCUUAGGUUUGUUUAGAAAUGGAUGUAUCAAAAUACUAAAACGUGACUAGAUACAUUCAUAUCUAGACAAACCUAAGACAAGAAUUUUGGGUUGGAGGGAGUAUGAUGCAUCUAAACAUAUUUAAUUAUAUUCCAAGGGUAAUAAAUAAGUGUACAUAAAGAUGAAAGUUAACCUGUUAUCAAUCAUAUUAUCAUGGAGUACAUACAUGGAUAACAAUUAUGGUCAUGACAACAAGCAUAUUAUUUAAAAUGAUAGAGUAAACCUUACUUGGUGUUCCUUAAAUAAUCUUCAUAAAGAUUAUGCUAAAACUCGAAACGAAUAUUUUUAAUAUUAAUCACAUGAUGUCUAUAUAUUAUUUACUUAAAACAGAAGUCAAAUAAGCUAUCAUGUUUGUCUAGAUAGAUUGAAUUACCAUGAUCAUUAAUAUUAGAAAAUAACAGUUUAGACAUAUCGCACCAAACAACAGACUAUGUAUGUUGAUUGAACAUAGACGUGUACAUAUACAUACGAAAGAGAGUGCAACAAACAUAUUAAUAAACAAUUAUGUCUAAUAUACUAAACUAUGCGUACAAUAUGAUGGUUCAAAUUGCAAACUAUAGCAAACAUAUAUUAAAAACCAAAGAUGAAUAAUAUGCAAGUUCUACUAUUUAAAUUUCAUUUCCCAGGUGUUAUGGAACUUUGUUUAUGCCAUGAUGUGUAUGUGCAUGUUAAACGAGUUUUAGCCAGGGAGAUUGGAUUAUGGAACUUUGUUUAUGCCAUUGCCCCUUGAAAAUAUGGAGGUAAGUACGUAGAAAACAGAUACAUUAGUAAGAAAAUACGGAUUUGUAAGUAUGUACUAUUUUAAGACGCUGCAUGAUGGAAGUAUGGAGAAACAUAUUUAUUUAUUAAAAAUGUAGGAAUAUAUAAAAGUUUAUUAGUGAAUAAAAAUUAAGUAUUGAAAAAAUAAUACCGCGUGCAUCUCACGCAUAGCAUGGCAGAACUUUAUAUCUAACUGAAUCACAUUUCAGACCGUGAAUAAUAUGUUGCUAGUCGCUUUUGGAUAAUGUUUGGCAGAGACCUAACAUUAUGAUAUGGAUAGAUCCAUAUUUUUUUCACACUCGCAUUGUUAUUCCUAUAUGUAAGAAGGAUAAAAUUGUACGUAUUAAAUUUGAAAAGCAAAUUUCUCACAUAUGACAGAAGACACAAGUUCAAGAUAUGGUCAAGCCAUGGCACAUGUUUUUUUUUAUUUUGAGAAAUGAAAGCAUUUUCUGCUAUCACCUACAUCAUGUACUCAUAUAUUAUUAUUAUAUAAGAAUUUUUAGCAAUACAUCAUUGAGUAAAUGGUCCAAAUAAAGGAACAACAAUAUACAAUAUCUUCUUCAGAAUUACCUUUCUCCGAAGAUGGAGCAACAUCUUCAACAUUGCUUCCAGAGGUCUUUGAGUCCCCGGCAUCAUCUUCCCUGGUUGUGCCCGUCACCAAUUCUUCAUUUAGUGCACUCUAGUGGACAGAAUCCAAAGAAUCAUUCACCUCUUGCGCUUUGUAUGCACGCCCAUAUUUGUCAAACAUGCUAGCACAAGAGGAGCAACUUCCCCGUAGCUUGGAGCCCUAAGUGAAAACAAAGGUGUAAAUUUUCAGUCUAUAAUUGUGACGCAAAGGCAUGAAAGUUACUGCAAUCUGAGGUAGAACAGCACAGCUACUAUUAUUCCAUCAACCAUUUUGAUGACAUGAGAUCUGACAAUGUUCUGUUUUCUGCUGUUUAUAAUAACAGAGUGGACAACACCGGGGGUAUAUAACUCUUCUUGAAUAAGACAACAGGCUAUCCUUCCAAUGAAUUCGCUUUAGUUUAAUGUUCAUCGCAAUACACAUAGCAUGACAAAAGAUGAAAGGUCCUAACUCUUUGCCAAAGGAAAUAAGUACUAAGGUUAAUUUGACUUGCUGGACCCCUCAAACACAGCUAGGCUGGACCCCUCAAUCACAAGAUAAACCGCUUGGCAGCCACAUGGUCCUAGUACAUCUAAAACUACUUUUAACUCAUCUUUCGAACAAAAUGACUCAAAGCCCAAAGAAUUGAAGGGCACAUUGUGCUAAUCAUAAAGAGAAUUACUGAACUAAGGGAAAGUUUUAUUCCACAAUCACAUCCAUACAAAUGUUUUAGCAUAGCAAGGAAUAAGGGAAGCAUUUGGGAAUGGAGCUUUCACCCAUUGUUGUUCCCAUUCCUGUCCCCCUAAGACGACGUCUACUGCUCCGCCCUGCCGACCAACACCGAUGAAAACAACAGCGGCAAGUACAACACGGACAAUGAUGAGGAUGAGGAGGAGGAGUUGCUUGCCUCCCACUAGAAGCUUGGGUUUCCACCAGACCCGGUCCCAGAGCCCAUGUUAUUCUCACGCUUUCUUGUUGCUGCUAUAGGUGCACCACCGCCGUAUCUUCCCUGGAAGCUUAGGAACUGCUGCUCAAACAGAGAAAAUCAAGGAGAUUAUAAGACAUUUCCUAUCUCGAAACACAUGUUAUUUACCGAAGAAACAAGAAGAGUAAUGUCUAAUCAGAAAAUGUUGCACAUUCAUUCAUUCUUAUUGUUAUUCUUGAGCGCAUAGUGUACUCAACAUUCACCAUAUUUCAUACCUGGGCGUAAAUUUACAUACUAACCAGAAAUUUUAAUUGGUCAACAUUGUUUACUAAUUAGGUUAUUCAUCCCCAAAUGACCAGUGGUUCUUGCUGCCUUGUGGCACCUGAACAAAUUUCUCUACAUAGGCUUAAAAUGAAGAUUACUUGCUGGAAAUAGUCUAAAGCAUGGGUGGCACUUGCUACAGACCAGACCAUGCGAGCAGAAAUUCUCAAGAACACAAGACUAGAGACUUGUAAGUUUCUACUUGCACAAGUUUUAGAAUGGAAUCAAAGUACCCCAAGGACACAAGCACCAACCAUAUUGGGAAACAAUGGAUACAACAUAACAAAUUUCUAGAAACUGUUGGCUACGCUAGAGCAGAGCAGAGACGCGGUAAAGAAACAAGGGGAAGAAGGAAGUUGGCCUUGUGCUCGGGGUCUAGAUGAUGUCACCAUCGAGGUCAAGGUCGUUGAGCUCGUCAUGUCCCACACAUCUUCAUCCUCCUCAUCGAUGCCAUCCAUGGAACCAGAGGGUGCCUGAUGUUGUUGCUUCUGCGAAUCGAACAAGCAAAGAAAUUAAUUAGGCAUCUCAUCCGAUCUGCUCAAAGCCACCUCAUACACAUCACCAGUUGCAUCCAAAUCAAAGAAACAAAUAAAUUCAUUUGUACAGAGAAGUUUUCAAAUUCCUUCAGUGGCAAUUUUGGGUGAUAAUUGAUAUCACGUGCUAGAUCAGUUAAAAACUGAAAUAAGGUUCACACCUUGCAGAUUCAUCAUAUCAAGAAGGUUCAGACCUCAUAGGGUCAUCAUAUCAAAGACAUUCAGACUUAGAAAUUCAUCAUCAUAUCAGAGAGGUUCAAGCUUCAAAGCAAAAUUCAUCAUAUCAAAGACGGUAGGUGCACUUCAUACCAAAUAAUGAACUGAAGCAGUGUUCUAGUAAACAGAUCCAAAGGAACUCACGGUCGAGGUCGAGGUCAUCCGGCUUGGGUGUGGGGUCAUCCUUCUCGUCCAUAGAUGGUGGUUGCUGCUUCUGAUAGAAUCAAACAAACAAAUAAGUUUAGGUAAUGAUAACAUGCACAAACUGAAACACCAUUCAUCCAUUCAUUUAGUAGCAAAACAACAUCUAGUAUUAAAAGACACAUAAACACAAAUAUGGGAAUACCUUCAAAUUGUAGUGAGUAAACAAGCUAAAAUCCUCAUAAAAAAUCUUCAUUGAGUUGUUAAACUGAAUUUCGAGCAUGGAAAACGGCACUUGCUGCAUCCACAUUGAACAAAAUAAAUAAAUAAGUAAGGAUUACAAAUACAGCAAGCAACCAUUCGGUCUUAUAGAGGAGUUGUCAAAUCCAUUCUUCGGGCGGGUUCAUUCAGCGGACAAACAUCUGCAGUACAACACACUAGGUUGAAAUCAAUACGACGGACAAUUCAUUCUCCAUGAAGGUCAAGCUCAUAGCUAAAGAGAAAGAAGAACAGGGAGUUCAGAGAGAGAGGACGACUCACCAUGGCUGCACGAACCAGCAGAUGUUGCCUCCAGCUGGAGUGAUGGCCAUCCGGCGGAGCUUCAGGAGGGAGGGUGAGACGUUGUGUGCAUAUGGUACAGAGGGGAAUGGUGUGGCGGCGGCUUCUCGAGUGAGUGGGAGGCGCUUCAUCUGUUGGAGGGAGGGGGAGGCGCUGCAGUUGUAGGAGGGAGUCGGGCUGCUACGGGAGUCGGGACCGGCGACGGCGAAGACCGGGUCGUCGACGGAUCUAAAUCUGAGGCCGGAAGAGCGAGGGGAGCAAGCAGGGGCGGGUCGAGUGGCGGCAGGGCAUGAUGGGCGGAAGCUCACUUACCAGGCUCGACCGAGAACAUGGUCCCCGGAAUGAACCUAGCGCGGGUGUCAGGGCGGCGAGUGGGCCGACGGAGGUGGGGCGGCGAGGAGGCCGGCGGUUGCAGACCGAUGGUGAGGCGAGGGUGCGGGAGCGAGGCUGUGGUGUUGUGGGACGGAGGGAGGGGGAGCCGCGGGCUGGGAGGGAGCGGCAUGUGGUGGUGGUGCGGGCAGCGCGGGGGGGGAAGAUUGGGGAGAGAGAGAGGUGGGGAGUGGGGGAGAGAGGUGAGGAGUGGGGGAGAGAGAGAUAUCGUCGGUGGGGAGCUCCGUUAUGUGUCCAUCGCCUAGUAGGGCCUGCCUAGGCUCUUCGUCGUCUGUCUUUUCAAUCCUUCGUCCGUCAACACACGGCAAAAGAGCACACUGAUGGCAAAUGGUAUCUUUGCCAUCAGUCACCUCUUCGCCUUUUUUUUUGCCAGCUCACGACAAAGAGCUUCUUUGCCAUCAGCCAGCAGACGGCACAGAUUAGAUAGAUGGCAAAUUCUGUGAUUCAUGUAGUGUAUAAGACAACCUUAGGCACACCCCUUUAUGCUACUCUGCUUCUCCCCCAUCUCGUCAACUAAAGACCAGCAAGACCUAAUGCACCAAGGAUCCACCGCGAUAGACAACUAACGUCAAAGACCUUGACUACAACCUACUCAACCAAGUGCAACCCCGUAGAGCUAUGCUUUCCCUCAAAAACUGGAAACCCUUCCCCAUAAUUAACCUAGGUCUCACCAGUUACCCUAACUCAAACCUCUAACCAUGAGUUUAAUACACAGACUUGCCAGAACACUUGUUGAGCUUGAAUAACCCCUUCUUAGCACUUGGUUCAUUAUGGCACAAGCGAUCAUAGUGAACAAACAUACUUCAUUCUUAUGCUAGCACCAGAACCUGGAUGCCAUAGGGGAAUUGGUUAUGGAUAUGUGACUAUGAGACAAAUGAUAUGAUAUGACUAUAAUAGGUGUCUUUAGGAUAGUGUUAAGACUCUUUGGUGGAUUACGACAUUAUAAUAGUGAUGGGCGAACUUGGUGGAUCAACAGUCGGUAGAAUAGCAGAGAUUACCUCUCCAUUGAGAAAAUUGGAUUUAGUAGGAUAACUCGGGACCACACGUUGAAAACUCUAGGUGGCAUAGUAAGUUGAUUUGUCAGUUAUAUUGGUGGAGUGAUGAGGUUAUAAUAACGACUUGGAGGAGCAAGUACGAAUUCUCGACGGACACGGGAUUGGAAGUAAAUUAUGUGAUCCUGAUAGUGUUGGUGUUGAAGUAAGACUACAUGGUUCAGAGUAAUUUGGAUUUAGUCCAAUGAUCUUGAUCGUGAUACCAUGUUUCUUGGUGGUUGUUGAUAUAGGAAAACUAUAAGUUGUCAAAAUUGAUUUAAAUAUCUAUAUAAGCUUGACCUUGGGGUUUAAUAGAUCAUCAUAAUGGUAAGUUGUGGAUCUACGGUAAUAAUAAUCCUUGCCAUGAUAUGAGGGUUAUAGAAACUCAAGGUGGUCGUGUAGAACUCCAUCGACAUUGGAUUUGUAGGGAUAGUGGAUCAUGAGAUGAUCGAUGGCAUUUAGGGAUCACUUGAUUGGAUUCGUAGGAAUGAAAUAAGAUCUUGGAUUUGUAGUAUGUUAUUCAAGCUUACCAGCUUGUAUGAUCCCGAAGAUUUUUACAUAGAGAUACAUGUGAGUGGGUUAUAAUAUACAUAAUAGAUGUUGGUUUAGUCCUUCUCUCAAACCUUGGAGGUGAAUAACAUAAGUGAUGUUGGAGAUAUCUUAUAUAUGGUACUUUUGAUGAUAUUGGAUGAUUCUCUUUGCAGAAUUAGGUAGGAAUCCUCGCAUUUAAGAUCUAUUCUCAAGGAAAGGACAAACAUUUACUCACAUCCUAAGCUCCAUGAAACCCCGAAGUUUUACCAAGCCAACAUAUGGUCCGAUUAUUACCAUAGGUCUUGGAUCUAAGUCAUUAUAGUAUAGCCAAUACUCCACCUCGACCACCACCAAUCAUGUCCAUGAGGAAGGUGGGCAUAGAGAACGAGAUUAUGAUGGACCAUAAACCCCUAAACAAGUGACCAUCCGGAGCAAAUGUCCGCUUCUCUAACUUAUCCCAUGACCAAUGUGCUUAUGUGAUGUUUGGAGAAAAAUGUUGUUGUACUCAUGGAUGACAUACUUUUUUACCCAAUAAGAGCAGAAACACCUUAGUCCUAUUUGGAAAAGCCCCAGAAGCAUCGAUUGACAUUCUUCUCAUGUGUAUGAUUUUACCUUGAAGAAGUGGACUCCUCAAAGCACCCUCCAAGUAGGAGAAGACAUUCUUAUCCAAGGAAGAUGAAGGACCACUACGGUUGGGAAACCACGACAAUGAAGAAGAACGAGAAGGA
This 11791-nucleotide long non-coding RNA is filed under the name Hordeum vulgare. RNAcentral's name for it is "long non-coding RNA (HVUL_LNC019020)". The stretch from base 4987 to 5121 matches the Rfam family "MIR1120/MIR1122 microRNA precursor family". The record is from RNAcentral. Lineage: Eukaryota; Viridiplantae; Streptophyta; Magnoliopsida; Poales; Poaceae.